RNAcentral lists this long non-coding RNA (33128 nucleotides) under Gossypium barbadense (sea-island cotton). Its description in RNAcentral is "long non-coding RNA (GBAR_LNC023050)". The record is from RNAcentral. Lineage: Eukaryota; Viridiplantae; Streptophyta; Magnoliopsida; Malvales; Malvaceae.
UUAUUGAUGGGUGGGGCUAAAGGGAGUAGGAUAAUAGUAACUACUCGAUCUCUAAGGGUAGCGGAGAUAACUAAUAAAUGUCAAUCCCAUGUUUUGAAAUUGAAAGGCCUGUCUGAUGAUGAUGCUUGGUCUUUGUUCAAAAAGAUAGCAUUUGAGCAAGGAUAUGCAGACUCAACAAAUUCAGCCUUUGUGGAAGUAGGGAGACAGAUUUCGGAAAGGUGUGGUGGGGUUCCCUUAGCCAUAAGGACGAUAGCUGGUACAUUAUCUUUGAAGAAAACUGCAAAUGAGUGGCAUUCUUUCAAAGAAAAUGAACUUGCUAAAAUAUCACAAAUUGAAGAACUUCUACCUAUCCUGAAAUUGAGUUAUGAUCAUCUCCCGUCUCAUUUGAAGCAUUGCUUUGCUUAUUGCCGAUUGUAUCCAAAAGAUUACAGAAUUGAAGUACAAGAGCUUGUUCAAUUUUGGAUUGCACAGGGUUUCAUAAAGCAAUUGAAUCAAGGUCAAUCUCUCGAGGAGAUCGGAUUUGGGUAUUUUAAAGAUUUAGUUGAAAGAAGUUUCUUUCAAGAGGUAGAAGGAGACUUGAUGGAAGAAAUGACAUGUAAAAUGCAUGAUUUAAUGCAUGAUGUAGCUGAAUCAGUAGCAGGGAUGGAGAGUAGUAUUGUAGAUUCAAAUAAAAUUGCAAGUGAUGUUGGUGAAAAAUGUCGCCACAUAUCAAUUAAACCUUCAUUAAUUCCUUUGUUUAAGGGAAAGAAGUUGCGAACCUUGUUACAUUUUCAAGACAAAAUAAGUCAAGAUUUCAGCUAUGAAACUUGGGAUUUGAUAAUUGCAAAUUGUAGAUGCUUGCGUGUAUUGAAAUUGACUAAUUUGUUAGGUAUUCAAAAGAUUUCACCCUCCAUUUACAAGUUGAAACUUUUGAGGUACCUUGAUCUUUCUUCCAAUUACAAUAUUAAGAUUCUCCCAAAGAGUAUUUGCAAGAUUCAGAAUUUGCUAGCGCUGAAACUUGACUGCUGUUAUGGGCUUAAAGAAUUGCCAAAGAAGAUUGAAAAAUUGGUGAAUCUUACCCAUCUUGCGUGUGAAGAUUGUUGUAGUUUAACUCAUAUGCCACGUGGAAUAGGGAAGCUGACUUCACUUGAGACGUUAAGCAUGUUUGUAGUGGAUAAAGAUGGGUCCCAUGGCGGUGCAGAUCUAAGUGAAUUGAGACUGCUUAACAACUUAAGGGGACAUCUACAAAUAACAAAUUUGGGAUUCGUAAAAAAUGCAAAAGAGAAGUUUAAGGCUGCUAAUUUGAAAGAGAAGCAACAUUUGAGAUCGUUGCUUUUAGAAUGGAAUGUUGAUGAAGAUGAUGAUGAGAAGUCACUUGAAGAUCUCCAGCCCCAUCCUAAUCUCAAGAAGCUCUGGAUUCGAGGAUGGAGGGGUGAUGCCAAGUUUCCGAUUUGGCUUUCUUUGCUCACAAAUCUCGUUUCUAUGACAAUACAUCGGGGUAAUUUCAAACAAAUCCCGUCCUUUGCGCAAUUUCCUUGUCUUAAAGGGCUGACCAUAGAUGAUUGUACUAAGCUGGAGUACAUGGAUGAUAAUAGCCCAAAAGGAAGUCAAGGAGAACCACAAUCAUUCUUCCCAUCACUGAAGCAUCUUUCGCUCUUUUUCUGUCCGAAUAUGAAGAGUUGGUGGAGGACGACAAAACCAAUCGAUGAUGAUUCCAACGAGGACGACACAACAGUUAUGGGAACAUCAACCAUGGCAUUUCCUUGUCUUUCCUCUUUAACAAUUCAAAAUUGCCCUUUGACUUUGAUGCCACUGUAUCCAUCACUCGAUGAAGGUCUAAAGUUGUCGAAUACCAGUUCAAGGCCGUUAAAGCAGACUAUCAAGAUGAACAUCAAUGCUAAGGCCCCAUCAACUUCAACCUCUUCUCUUCCACUCUCCAAAUUGAAAUCUUUCCAUGUAUACAACAUUGAGGGGUUGGACACUCACACGCUAGAUGAGUGCCUGCAACAUCUCACCAGCCUCAAAAGAUUAACAAUUGGAGAUUGCAAGGAGGUUGAUUUAGAGGGCAUGCAAUGGGAACCCCUUAAGAAUCUCUCUCAUUUGGAGAUUGAUAAUAUUCCAAAGCUGGUGUCUCCCUCCAUUUGGCUUCAACAUCUUGUUCAAUUGCAAACAUUAAAAAUUCAUAACUGCAAUGGAUUGAGGUCACUGCUUCCUGUGUUCCAACAUCUCACUUUCCUUGAAGAGUUCGAAGUAAAGGACUGCAAGAAGCUGGAGUUAUCUGGAGCUGGCAUCCAAAUAUUCCAAGAUCAUACUAGCCUACGCUCUCUACGGCUGGAACAUAUUCCAAAGUGUCGGCAUCUUCCGAAGUGGCUUCAACAUCUAACAAAUCUGCAAGGGCUUUAUCUCGUUAAUUUGCCCAAUUUAACAUCUCUUCCGGACGAGAUGCGUUGCCUAACCAAAUUGCAAAUUUUAUACAUAAAUGGAAUUCCUCAGUUGGAGGAAAGAUGUCGGAAGGACAUUGGCGCUGAUUGGCAAAAGAUUGCUCACAUCCCCAUCAUUCGGUUGAUUCAGGUUGGUCCGUCUUUGUUAUUUAUUUAUUUUGAUGACCUUAUCUGUUUUUGAAGAAAAAUAAGAGUGGUAUAUUGAAUCUCCAAGUCAGGGGUCUGAUGCCAUUUUUCGUUGAAGUUGGAUACUGUUAAUUUCCUUGUUAAAAUCCCUUUGUUUUCAUCCUACUUUUUACUUAUCAUCUUUCAUAAUAUUUUUGCUGAUUUGUGCAGAAAGGCAUUGGAGAAAGGCAUUAGUGAACUUCAAUCAUUUUAUAUGCAUAAAAAGAGGUGCUAAUUUAUCUAUUUGCUUUUUACUUUUAAAUCAUAAGAAUAACUUGACAAUUGCUUCUAAUAAUUUAAUUCUAAAAAAUCAUUGAUGUGGAGAGAGAGGCCUAUGAAGCCUUCAAAUUGGUUGUACUAUAUGCUCUGCUUUCUUCAUUUAAGCACUUACUUAUCAUAUCUUUAUUUCAGAAUAUUUGGUGGUGAGAUUGAAGUUGAUAAAAUGUUUCAUUACUUAUAUAUCAACAGCAUUAUACUAAACACACAUAUGUGCAAAUAUAAGGCUGAUAAUAAUGGGAUUUGUAACAUAUUCUAUGUUGGCAUUUAUAAUUUUCAGGUUCAUUGAUGCUUUUGGAAGAGUCGUUGUUCAAGCAUGACAAUUGCCAGACAUACUGCAUUUGAAAAUUUAUUAUUUCACCUUACAUGGAGCUUAUUAAGAGCUUGAUUCAUAGUAGGAAAACCAUCUGAGCGUUGAAUGUGAAUUUUCACUUGCAUAGCUAAAAUGAGUUGGGAGAGAAUUUGCUUAAUUGUACAAAAGUGAGAUUGCAUCAAGUGUUUGAGGGGUUAAGCUUAAAUCAUUUCUUUGUACUAUGAAGUUCAUAGUGGAUUCAUCUUUGGGCAAAGCCCCGUAGACGUAGGACAAGUUCCGAACUGCGUAAACAUCUUAAUUGUGUUCUUUAUUUUCCUUGUUGCAUAAUAUGUACCAACUCAGGAAAAAACACAUUUUAAAUGUUCCAAACAGUAUUCAAAUGCAGGGAUGCACAAUUGAUUAUGAGACAAUAAUUGUUUUAGACGGUAUUUCACAUUUUUCAAUUAUGAUGCUUCCAAAAGAUGUCGAUGUCCUGGUUGUAUAUACAUGACACGUGUGUUGAUGAUUAUGUUGGCACACAUCAAAUUACAAGUUGAAUAACACCUUAUAAAGGCCUAUCAUGGCACAAGCCAAUAUUCCAAGCAUCUAAUUGUUAUUUUUCCCAUUGUUUUCCUUAUCAAAAUACAAGUAAUUUUCAACAAUGUAAUUAAAAUGUAAUUUUCAACAAGGUAGCGAAAUGUGGAAUUAAAUUUUUCAAAAAUUUUAAAGAACCUAAUGAGAAUUUCAAAAAAAAAGGGUCUAAUUAAAACUAACAAGACUAUUAAAGGGCUUAGUGAAGAUUUUAAAAAAAUUGAGGAGUUUAAUUAAAAUUUUCAAAAAAAUUGAAGGCUUAAUUCGAAUUUCCCAAAUUUGGAAAGGGGGAGGGGUAUGGAGAGCUCUGGCUCCCAUUGCCUUCUGCCUCGAGUAAUUUUUGAAACUAUAAAGAAAGUGUUGUGAUCUGUCCAUGGCAUUGUAACCUACGCUCUCUAUCACCGGCAAAAAUUCCAAAGUGUCGGCAUCUUCCGGAGAGGGUUGCAAUUUCUUUAUCUCUCUGAUUUGCCCAAUUUUAGAUCGCUUCUGAGAUGACCAGUUUGAAAUCUUUACAUAUACGACAAAUUCCUCAGUUGGAAGGACAUUGGCGCUGAUUGGCAUAAAAUUGCUCACAUCCCACGCAUUUGGUUGUAAUCAGGUUGAUGGAAAGGCAUUUGUGCAGUAACCCAUUGGAGAAAGGCAUUUGAGAACUUCAAUAAUUUGCAAGAGUUCCUCAGUUGAUGGAAGGACAUUGGUGCCGAUUGAUUUGUUGGCUUUUGAGGUCUUUGAUCUAUUAUUUAUCCUUCCUCCUUUAGCAGAUACAGGUGUCUGGAAGGGACUGUUGGAUAUGCUGGUAACUCCUGGACUGCUUUGUCCAUUGGCUAGACUCAUCAUUUUUGUCUGCUGCGCUUUUCCUUUUUAAUUGCUGAGAAAAAUCAGCAAUAAUUCAAAGUAGUGACAAUGGCAGGCAAAAUUACAAGGUCCCUUAGUAUCUGUGCAUGGUUAUAUCUACAUUAACAACCAAUUGAAUUGAAGAAAAUAAAAUAAAAAAGAGCAUAAGUUUAACAGAUGCAUAUGUAGGAGAGCUUGUAUAAGAAAACUUACUGUUAGUCAUAAGAACCAUCAGAAAUGCUUCACUACUUGAAGACAGAAUGAAAAAGGAAUAUAAUAUACGAACAUAAUUUUGCCUGACAAACUAUCAGACAUAUUAUACAUAAGGGGGAAAUAUGUAUAUCAACUGAAUCAUUUUUCAAACAUCCAUCAAAAGAACUAACACCCAUCAAGCUUUCUUCAUAUAGAGCACGGCAUUAAAUGUUUGGCUUUAAACCGAGAAUGGAGUAGCAUAACAUAACCUUCCUCUCUUACUAUAACAUUUAUAUUACGUAAAACUAACAUACUAUCAAUUGCAAUUAUAUUUGAUAGUACUAAAACUUAGUUUUCUCAAAUUAAGGCAUCAAAAUGUUAAAGUCAUCAGGUUUUGGACAUUGGAUGAGGCAAGCAUUCAUUAUAUUUCAACUUAGUUCAGCAAACGAGCACUUUAACCAUCAAAUACAUCAUCAAAAAACGGGAAUAGAUCACGUAUUAAAAUACAGACAUCACAAUAUCACUGCAGAAACAACUAAUGCUACUGAUAAUUUAUCCCCUAAGAAACUUACCCACCAUGAAAAGUUCUAUUUAUGAACAGAUCAAAAGAUCACACAAAAAAAUUAAGCAAACGACAUUAAGUGUUAAGUGAGAGUACAAUUCUCAUCAAAAUUGAAAUAAUAUACUACUAAUUACAUGAUAGCCACCAUUUUCAAAAGAGAAUUUUUGAACUCACUGGAAAUCUCACAAUAAUUGCUUCAACUUCUUGAUCGGCAACGAUUCCACGACUUUUACUAGGUGAAAAUCUGUGAUAAUCAUCGGGAUGAACAAACGGCGGGUUCGUCGAAGCGAAGGCCAGGUGACCACGUAUCGGCGGAACAACCGGAGGAACCGUCGAAGCUGGUGCUGUGGAAGCCGUAGGAGGAGGUUGAUACGGCAGCGUGGGACCAUCGCCGGACAUGGAGGUUUAUGAUUUCUAGGGGAAGGAGGUGGGGGUAUAAUUGGAAUUGGGGGAAUAGGAAGAGAGAGAAAGUGAGGGUUUUAGUUUAGACGUUAGAGAGAGAGUAGAAAACGAGGGAAAAGGGAGGGAAUCUUUUGUUCGGAUAAAUGUGGAGGGAAGUAUUUUGUACAUAAUUACAAUUUAUUUUUAUCUUUUUGAACUCUUAUCUUUUUCAAUUAUUCAAUUUCAUCCACAAUAAGAUUCAGAUACAUGUAUAAGGGUGAAAGUACCUGUAGUAUAGGGACUACAUCAAAUUAGUCUCAAUACUAUUAAAAAUGAUCAAAUAAAACCAAAUUACCAUAGAGUAAACAUUUAUUGCAUAAAAAUGUAUUAAAAUUUGUUAACUCUGAUAAUGUUAAUUCUGUUACAAUUUGAUAUAAUUUUAUUCUUUUUUAAUAAUGCAAGAAUAAAUUUGAUCUAUUUAAUAAUCAAGAGACUAAUUUGAUACAGUCUAUAAUAUGGGGACUUCCUAAAUACUUUAAGCUUUAUAAGUUGACCCUAUUUCACUAUUCAUUUAAUAUUAAAAAUUAAUGUUUUAAUAAUAUUUACACAUUUUUAUAAUUAAAUAUAAAUAAAAUGUUUUUAAUUAAUAAAGAGUAAAUCAAGUUGUAUUAAGUUUGCCCAAAGCAAAUAAUAAUAAUAAUAUCUUAUCAAAGAAUAACCUUCAAUCUGACCAAAUUGAAUGGGUUAAAUCAAGCAAGUAAUUAUAUUUUUACUGUGUGAAAUAAUAAAAUUUAUUUUUCAAUUUAUGUCUAAAUAAGUUUUUUUUUAUAGUUUUAUUUGUAUUUAGAUAAGUUUAUGGUUUUCUUUGGAUGUAUAAUUGGAUCAAUUCUAGUAAAAUUAAAAAUAACGUUGGGGUGAGAUUAGUUAUUGGAAUAGUUAGAUUGAAUAUCGUAGUGAUGUGAUAAUAACCAGUUUUGGAUAUAUAUUUGGAUUCAAUAACAAUUGUAGUAGUGAGGUGAGGUUAAAAAUGGAUAAAAACACCUCUUCCAUCCCUCUUUAAUUCAAUAUUUUGCAAAUUGGCCCUUCUAAAAAAAUAGAGUAAUUUAAUCCCUAUCAAUUUCAAAAGUGAACUAAGGACAAUUAACAAUAAUGUUAAUAUUUUUUGUCACUUGUAUAUAAUUUUGAUUAGUAUAAUCACAAAUUCAGUUCAUACAUAAUGUGUAAAUGUUGCAAUUUGAUUUAGUUAACCUAGAACUAAAUUGACAGAAUGUGUAAACUUUUAGGGCUAAAGUUAUUAUUAUACCAAUAAAAAUGUGUACAGAUGACAAAAAUAUUAACAUUGUGCUUAAUUAUUCUUAGCUACUAUAUUUCGAAAUUAACAAUGAUAAAAUUGCUCUAAAUUUUUUAGAAGGACCAAUUUGCUUGAGAUCAAAAUUGUAAGGGACCAGAAAGGUGUUUUCACCUUAAAUUGAUUAUUACGGAUGUUAAAUUAUUUAUAUUUAUAAAAUGAAAUAAUAUAACAUAUACUAAAUUUGCAAACAUGGUAAAUAAUAAAUUUAUUAAUAAAUAUAUUUUUAUUAAUUUUUUUAUUUAUUAUUACAUAUCUACUUAUUUAGAUUUAAUUCAUAUAAAAUUUGAUUAUGAAAAUUAUAUUUUUUCUUUGAAAUUAUUAUAAACUCAAAAUUCUAUACUUUAUAUAAAUGAAAAUAAUAAAAUAUAAUAAAAUUAUUUAUAUUAAAUAAUAAUUACAAAUAUAUUUAUGAUAAUAAAUUUACAUGUAUUUAAUAUAUCAUUAUAUAAAUAUUAAUUUGUAAUAUAUUUAAUUUUUAUAACAAUUAAAUAAUUAAAUUUAUAAUUAUCGUAUGAUAUGUACUUAUAUAACACCUCUAUAAGGUUAUAGUGAGAAAAAACAAUCUCAUUGCAAGUUAAAUUUUUUAAGAAAAUCUUUUAUGUCCAGUUUGGUGCAAUAAAAUCAAGUGAUACUUACCUCAAUUUGCUUAUCAUAUAUAUUAAUUUAAAUUUUAACAAUUAAUAAUUAAAUUCGAAUUAUAGUAAUACUAACCGAAAUUUCUCUCGAGUCGCUCCUUGUCCACCUUCUCCUUUCCUUUAUUGGUCAAUGACUCUUGCACGACAUUAGCUACGUAAUUAAACAAUUAAAAAUUAUUAAUACACAAUUUCAUCAAAAUAUUUCCAUUUAUACCUAAACUUUACCUAAAUUCUAAUUUAAUCCUUUAUCAAUACUAAUUUUAUUUUCCCAAUCUAACUCCAUAUUCUUUCUCAAUUCUUACUAUAAACUCAUUUUAACUCUUCAAUUUCACCAUAAAUCCCUAAUUUCUGGAUUCUUUUAAUUUAGUCCCUACUAAUCAAAACUUACACUUUAUUUUACAAUUAAAUCCUUUACUAACUUGUAACUUGAAAUUAAAUUAAUUUAACCCCUAAUUCUUUCAUUUAUUCAACAUAAUCAAUGUCUAGAAAUCUAAUAACUUCCAAAAUUUUGACAUAAAUCCAAUAAUACUUUGUUCUAGGAUUCCAAAAACAUCAAAACUAAGAGAAAAGGGAUUAAAUUGACUGACCAAAUUUUCCUUUUUCUUUUUCUUUCUUUCUUUUUCCUUCUUUCCUUUCUCUGUUUCGUUCUACUUCUCUGUUCUUUUUCUUUCUUUAUUUCCUUGUUUCUUUUAUUUCUUUACUUUAUAUUAUAAUAAUAAUAUAAUUACAAUAAAUAUCUAAUUAAUAACUAAUACAUAUAUUACAAAUGUAUACAUAUAUUUUUUUACACCUGUACUUAAUCUAUACCCUACACUUUCACAAAUUAAUUUAUUAAUCACAUAAAUAUCUUAUAAUUUAAUUAUUUAUCCAAUAAAUUUGUAUUUAAUAGACAAUAUAAAUAUUACAAUUGUAUAUAUUUAUCUUUUUACACAUUUGUUUAUAAUUACCACACACUUGUCACUUUUUAUUGUUUAAUUAUUAGUUUAGUCCUUUCACCUUUCUCUUUUCUAUAAUUAACUUUCACACUUAAUUCAAUUUAGUCCUAAUACAUAAUUAACUUUAAUUCAACUAAAUUCACUUAACUAAAAUCCAAUUGGUCUUAUAACUAAUUCUAUAAAUAUUUUUAAUAAUUAUUUUAAUAGUCCAUUUUACCAAAACAGAGACCUGAUAAUUCACUUUCCAAUACCUGCACUUUUUAGGUCGUUUCAAAAUUAAAAUCCCCCAAGUCCUAUAUAUUUUUUGUAAGUUUAGAAUUUAGUUUGUAUAUUUUUAUUUUUAAGAAAUUAGUUCCUAUAUUUUUUAAAUUUUAAAAUUCAAGUCCAACUGUUAACACUGUUAAAAUUAUUUUAUUAAAUUCAGGUUCAUUAAAAUGUCAUAUUCUUAGUUACAUGGCUACCAAGUAAGUAAAAUUUUUUUUAAAUCAAACUGUCACACUAACAAAUCCAACAAAAAAAAAUUUAACAGUAUUAACAAUUGGACCUGAAAUUUGAACUUUGAAAGUAAAAAAAUUAAAUUCCUAUAAAUACAAGUAUAAAGACUAAAUUUCAAAUUUAUGGCGAGUACAAGGACAUAUGGCAUAUUUUAACCUAAAAAAGGGUACCCUACUUUAGUAGUCAUCCAACUAAGUUUUUUUUCUUUUUCGGUCACUCAAUCAUGAAAAGUUACAAAAUAGUCUCCCAACGAUUCAAUUUUAUCAUUUUUAUCAUCAGUUGGCUAAUGAAAAAAUAGAAAACACCAAAAAAUCCAAGAUAAUUGGGUGAAAAAAAAGGAAAAAAAAUAAUAGUUUAUUGAUUAUUUUGUAACUUUUCAUAAUUAGGUAAAAGAAAUUACUAAUAAUUUGGUGAUCAUUUCGUAACUUUUUAAAUAGUUGAAUGACUUUUAAUAUAGUUUACCCAAAAAAGAAUAUUAACGGCGUCAAAUAGAAAAUGAGAAAACAAAUUUAAAACAAAGAUAAACAAAAUGAUGUACUUAACGAUGUUACUCCCUUCUUCUCCAACCAAAACGCCGUCGCUUUGUUCCUCAAACGUAAAACAUGGUGGGACCAUUUCCAACCAUAUUCUCAAUUUAUUAAUUAAUUUUUUAAAAUUAAUUUAUAAAUUCUAAAAUAUUUUAAUUAAGUUUUGAAAGUAUUAAUGUUAUAUCAAUAAAAUCAUUCUAUUUUUGUAGCUGUCAAUUUAGGUUUUAAAUUUCAGUUCUCAUUUGACAUGGAUUAAAUUGUAAAUACUUGUGUACUCAUCAUAUUGAUAACUUGAUUCUAACAUAUUAAAAACACGAAGAGAUUAUAAAAUUUAAGAGGAUUAUUUCUUCUUCUUCUUCUUUUUUUAACACAUUAGAUUAAACAAAAUGCACACUUUUAAGAUAUUAAAUUAAUGGAUUUUUAUAUUUGAUGUAUCAAAUAAUUAUAUUAUACACACAAUAAUAUCACUUCAUUAAAAAAAAUAAAAUUCACAUGCUGAUGUUGUUCUGGUCAAGGUUUUCAAAACUAGAUAGGUGGUCGAACCAAUCAUAUUAAUUGAUUUUUGGUCCAAUUUGUUUGUUCGAUUCAAUUGAAAUAGUUUAAUUUAAUUUAGGGUUUUUAGAUAUGGAAGUUUCAUAUUACAAUAAUUGAAUUUUGAAAAUUUUUAUAGAUUUUUUUAUAUUAUAUAUAUUAAUUUAUUUAAAAUGUUUUCAAAUUUAACUAAUCAUAGUUUGACAUGUGUCAUAUAUUAGUAAAAAUUGUCAACACCAAUCUUAAUUGUCCUUAUUUAUUCACCUUUGAAAACUACAUGGUUUCCAUUAAUCUGUUUUCACCGGCCUCAAAAAAUUGACAAUAGGAGAUUGCAAGGAGGUUGAUUUAGGAGGCAUGCAAUGGGAACCUCUUGGUUGGUGAUUGGUAAUAUUCCAAAGCUGGUGUCUCUCCCCCUUGGGCUUCAACAUCUUUUUCGAUUGAAAACAUUGGGAAUUCAUGAAUGCCAUGGAUUGAGGUCACUCUUACCUGUGUUCCAACAUCUCUCUUUCCUUGAAGAGUUUUCAAUAAGUAACUGCAAGGAGCUGGAGUUAUCUGCACCUAACUUCCAAAUAUUCCAAGAUCAUACAAGCCUGCGCUCUCUGGCGCUGGCAAAGAUUCCAAAGUGUCGCCAUCUUCCGGAGUGGCUUCAACAUCAAACAAAUCUGCCAAGGCUUAUUCUCUGUGAUUUGCCUAAUUUAACAUCGCUUCCGGACGAGAACCAGUUUGGAAGAGUUUUUUAUGAAACGAAUUCCUCAGUUGGAGGAAAGAUGUCGGAAGGGGAUUGGUGCCGAUUGGCAUAAGAUUGCUCAUAUCGCUACAGGUUGUUAUAUUGACUCUCCAACUACAGCCUCUUUUGCCAAAAUAGAACAAGCUUUUGGUGCAAUUUCUUCAUUUGUCAUUUUAUUUGGCUACUUUGUGCAGUAAGCAUCGAAGACUUUUAGUGAAACGAAUUUGGCAAUUUCAAGAAUUCAAAUGCAGAAAAAAAAAAGUGGUAAUCUAGCUAAUUGCUUUACGCUUUUAAAUUAUAUUAAUCUCAGCAUCGCAAUGAUCUGAUGAAAUCCUAUUGUGUAUACACAUUUGAAAAUGCAGCUUACACCAAAUACCAACAAGGAAUGACAGGUAAUUCAUGCCAUUCAUUUAUUUUCUAUUUGAUUCAAUAAAAUAAAAUUGAAUAAUUUAGAUUUAGUGUGAUGUAUUUUGGUGGUUCAUAUCUAUCAUUGUAGCGACCUAAAAAUUUGUCGAUGGGCGCUAAUCGAAUUGAUUGUUGAAAAUUUGAAAAUGGAAUUCCGAUUUCAUUUAAAAAGGGAGUCGCCACCGAUCUUUUUUCUAGGUGUGAUCGGACACCUAAUAAAUUCUCUUUUUUUAAAAGAAAAUUUAUUUUUCAAAUUUUCUGAAAAACAGUCAAUUUUAGGUCCACGUCAAAAUCCAGAGAAAAUUAGGGUUCGGGAGUCAGUUACGCGCGAGGAAGGUAUUAGCACCCUCGCGACGCCCAAAAUUGGUAUCUCGUUAAACGCGUGUUGUCUUCAUUUUCAAAAAUACGAGUUCAAUUUAAUAUUAGUCAUGAUUCAAUUGAAACAGGAGAAUUUUGAAACACAACAACCCUUUUUUUUGAAAACACGAAUUUUUUUUUAAAACGCAAGAAUUUUAGAAACACGAAAAAUUUUAAAAAAAAACACGAAAAAUUUGAAACACGAGAAUUUUUUCAAAACACGAAUUUUCUUUUUGAAACACAAAAAUUUUGAAAACACAAAAUUUUAUUUUGAAAACACAAAAUUUUAUUUUGAAAACACAAAAGAUUUUUUUUGAAAUACGGAAAUUUAUGAAACACGGUCAAUUUUUGAAAACACGAAAAUUUUUGAAAGACGGGAUUUUUUUUAAAAACACGAAAAUUUAUAAAACACGGAAAUUUUUUUCUGAAAACAAGAAAAUUUUCGAAAAACGAGAAUGUUUGAAAACACGGGAAAUUUUUGAAAACAUGAAAAUUUUUGUUACACUAGAAUUUUGAAAACACGAAGAUUUUUGAAACAUGAGGAUUUUUGAAAACACGAAGCUUUUUGAAACAUGAGAAUUUUUUGAGAACAUGAAAACACGAAAAUUUGUCAAACACGGGAAUUUUUUAAAAACACGAUAACAUCAAAGAGUAUUCAAGAGAGUUUUUUGAAACACGGAAUUUUUUUUUCGCAAAAAGUGAAGAUUUUUUGAAAUACGAGAAAUUUUUGAAGAUAUAAAAAUUUUUGAAACACGAUUUUUCUUUAAAAAAUACCGUAUUUAACACGAAUCGAUGAUAUUCAUCCCGAUAUGGCGAUGAAACCAUCGAAUUAGUGUUAACUCAAUUCAAUUUAACAUUUAAUCGGGAUUCUAUUAAAACACGAGAAAUUUUUAAAUACGGGGAUUUUUGAAUUUUUUUAUUUUUGAAAGGGCGUCCCGAAUUUAAUACGAGCUAUCGAUAUUCACCCAACAUAGCGAUGAAUUCGGCGACUCGAUGCUAAACCGAUUCGUUGCCUUAUUUAUUAAAAUAAUUUUUAUUUCAUUUUUUUAUUUGCAAAUAAAGCCACUCUAAUAUUACUAAAAAAACUAUUUAAAAUAUGCUAAUUAAAUUUAAAUGAAAUAAUAUUUAAAUAAAUGAAGCUAAAUUAAAAAAUUUAAGGAAAUUACCAAAAAGCCCCAAAGUGGUGGGCCCUUUUCUUUUUUCCUUUUUUUUCUUUUUUUUCUGCUGGAUGUCGGGCCUGGGCGUUGGGCCAAAGGGAGGCCUGCUUGGCCUGCUGCUGCUGAGCCUGGGGCUUGCUGCUGCUGGGCCUUCGCUGGGCCUGCGCAAAAGGGGCCUGCUUCCUUUUUCUCUUCUUCUGCUGGGCUGUUACUGCUAUUGGGCCUGCUGCUUAUUUUUUUUUCUGGUUCUUUUUUUUGCUUGGGCCUGGGUGUUUUGCUGCUGGAUCCUGCUGUUUGGAGAGGGCUGUUGGAGCGCGGGUCGGGUCGGGAUGGCUCCGAGGGUCGGGUGGUCGGGUCGGGUUGACCCGAUUGACUUUAAAAUUUUUUUUUUCUUUCUCUUUUUCUUUUUUCUUUUUCUUCUCCCUUUUUCUUCUUCUUUUUUCUUUCUUCUUUCUUCUUCUUCGGGCCGCACCUUAACCCCACGUGCGCCUUUGAGGGCGUUUCCUCCACCUGGUACGACGGCCGGUGGUGGCACGGUGGCGAUGAAGGGACGACUGGGCUUUCUUUUUGGACCUUUUUUUUGCUUUUUUUCUUGUUUUUUUGCUGCUGCGUUUUUGUUUUGCUUCUCUUUUUGUUUCAAUUUCUCUUGGCUUCUAGGUGGUGGUACGGUGGCUGCGGUGGCGGGUAGUGGCACGACGGCGGCGAGGGCUGUUGGGCUGUUAUUGUUUGGAUUUUUUUUUGAAUUUUCUCUGCACUUUUUCUCCUUUUUUUUUUCGAUUGCCCCCCCUUCUUCUCUUCCAUUUUCCUCUUUUAAUCUUACCAUUUUUGGCUUCUAUUCCUUUGUCUGCAGGUGGCUAGGGGAAGGAAGGCCAUGCAUUGGGGGUGGCAGGCGUGGCAAGCGGGGCACGCAAGAAUGCUGGUUGGGGGCAGUCUUGUCAUGCCCAGAAGGACCAAAAUGUAAAGGGUGUAAAAUUUCCAGGGUAAAAAUGUAAUUUCAGGAAAAUAUGGGGCCAAAAUGUAAAUUUUGAAAAGUUCGAGGGCUAAAAUGCCAUUUAUUUUUUUGUAUUUUUUUAAAUUUUAUUAUGACUAUUUAAUUAAUAUUUAAAAUUAUUAUAAAAAUAAAAAUAAAAAUGGGCUAAAGCCCAAACAAGCUUAAAAUCUAAUUACUUAAAACCCAAUUACCCAAACCCCAAAGGCCCAACCAUUGGACCCAAUCAUUAAGCCCAAAUGAGGCCAAUCCCACAAAAUUAUUUAAAAAAAAACAUAUAUAUAAAAUGAAAUAAAAUAAAAAAAAACACGAACUACAGACCGGACAAAAUUCAGUGAUUACAAUAAUUUCAUAGCUUCUAAUACUUUAAUUCUAAAAAAUCUUUAUUGGUACCCAAUGGACAUUUUCCAAAAUGCUUGCAUGCCAGCCUUCAAUAUGCUUCUACUUCAUGCUCUGCUUUGUUCAUUUUCCAAUUUUAAAUCUUAAUCAUAUGUAUAUACAAUUUUAUGUUUUAUCUUGAAAUUUUUGAUCUUUUUACCCUUAUUUUUGUUAGCUUUUGGCUCUAUUCUUCUGCAGAGCAUAGCAUGCAAUACAAAAAGCAGAGACCAUAUUUUCUACCCUCAUAUGUUUAUCUGCCCACAUAUUCGAUUGGCGUGUAUUUUUCUGAAAGGCAUUUGACAACUUUAAGAAUUUAGAUGCAGGCAAAUAGGUGGUAAUUACUUAAUUGCUUUACAUUUUUAAAAUCAUAAUAAUCUCAUAAUUUCAAAUGAUCUAAUAUAACCUCGUAACUAAGCUGCUUCCUUUUCAGCAUGAGUUCAAUGGAAGAGCCAAAAAGCAGGACAUGCAUUCUUCAUCAGCUGAUCUGUCCAUGGUAUUGUGUGUUGAAAGGUCAACAAAGGUAGGAAGCAACUUGUUAAAAAGGUUGAGCAAGUUGCACCGAAUGUUGAAAAGUUGAAUGGGAUAAUUGCAAUUUUGGUCCCUAAUUUUUUAGGCCAUUUGCAAGUUAGUCCCUGAACUUCAACUAUAAAUAGGCCUUUUCAUUUUUCAUUUCAACAAUCCCAACCAAUCUUUCUCUCUUAGUUUUCUCUCUUCUCCCAUUUGAGAAUUCUUAAGGAAUUCUAUUUGUUUGUAAUAUUUUGAAGAUAGUAAAGUUAUCAUCUGGUGUUAGUGCCCGAGGACGUAGGUAUAAUUUACCGAACCUCGUUAAAACUCUUGUGUUCUUUCUUGUCCUAUUUUUCUUUCAAUAUUUGAGGGUAUAAUAGUAGUAUUUAAUUGUGCUAUUAAAUUACUAUAGAAGGGAUAUUCUGACUAAGGAAAGACUUGGUAUUUAAGAGAUCCAUGUGAUCCACCUCUCUUCCCUGGGAAUUGAACUUUGUGUGAUUUUUUAGUACAAUAAUUUACACGCUUCCGACCCUAUUGGAACAAAAAGUGGUAUCAAGAGCCGAAGGUUAAGCGUAGUAUGCUCUGUGGUUGCAGUUUAAACUGAUCUUCCACAUCAGAAAAGAUUUCCUUAGGUAUAUUGAAAGAUUAUGGAGAAAACGGUCGGUGUAGGAGCUUCAACAUCGUCCAUGUGGACAAGACCGACAAUUGCAAAUGCAAGACUGGCCGUGGAGAUCUUUGAUGGCACAGGCCAUUUUGGUAUGUGGCAAAGUGAGGUUCUAGAUGCCCUUUUUCAGCAGGGUCUAGACAUUGCCAUUGAUGAAGAGAAACCAGAUGAUGUACAGGAGAAAUAUUGGAAGGCGAUCAAUCGGUUGGAAUGUGGCACAAUUCGAUCAUGCCUUUCUCGAGAGCAGAGGUAUGCUUUUUCAAAGGAGACUUCUGCAAAUAAGUUGUGGGUGGCACUUGAAGAAAAUUUUUUGAAGAAAAACAGUCAAAAUAAGCUCCACUUGAAGAAAAGACUGUUUCGCUUCACAUACGUCCCAAGUACCAGAAUGAAUGAUCACAUCACCAAAUUUAAUCAGUUAGUCACUGAUUUGCUGAAUAUGGAUGAGACAUUCAAAGAUGAAGAUUUGGCUUUGAUGCUGUUGGGGUCACUUCCUGAGGAGUUUGAGUUCCUAGAAACUACUCUACUUCAUGGCAGGAGUGAUAUAUCUCUGAGCGAAGUCUGUGCGGCCUUAUACAGUUAUGAACAGAGAAAGAAGGACAAACAGAAAAACUCAAUCAGAGAUACAGAAGCUUUAGUAGUCCGAGGUCGUUCAUACACUCGGAAGAAAACUCAAAAGGGGAGAUCAAAGUCAAAGUCCAGACUCGGGAAAGAUGAAUGUGCUUUUUGUCAUGAGAAAGGCCACUGGAAGAAAAAUUGUCCAAAGCUGAAGAAUAAGGGAAAAGCUGUUGUAGAUGCUUGUGUUGCAAAGCAUGAUACUAGUGACUCUGAACUAUCACUGGUUGCAUCAUCAUCGUCGUUCCAUUCAGAUGAGUGGAUAUUGGAUUCGGGUUGUACCUAUCAUAUGUCCCCUAACCGGGAGUGGUUCUUUGAUUUAGUAGAACUAAAUGGAGGAGUUGUUUAUAUGGGCAAUGACAAUACCUGUAAAACUGUUGGGAUAGGUUCAAUCCAAUUAAAGAAUCAAGAUGGAUCAACCAGAGUUCUGACUGAUGUUCGGUACGUGCCCAGUUUGAAGAAAAAUCUCAUCUCAUUGGGAGCCUUGGAAUCCAAUGGUUCAGUUGUUACUAUGAGAGAUGGGAUUUUGAAAGUGACAUCUGGCGCACUUGUGAUAUUGAAGGGCAUCAGGAAAAAUAACUUGUAUUACUACCAAGGUAGUACAGUUAUUGGAGCAGUCGCUACAGCUUCCGGUAACAAAGAAUUGGACUCAAUGCAGUUGUGGCAUAUGAAGUUGGGACAUGCCAGCGAAAAAUCCUUACAAAUUCUGGCAAAGCAAGGAUUGUUGAAAGGUGCAAAGGCUUACAAAUUAAAAUUUUGCGAGCAUUGUGUUCUGGGAAAGCAAAAGAGAGUGAAAUUCGGUACUGCUAUCCAUAAUACAAAAGGUAUUUUGGAAAAUGUUCACUCAGAUGUGUGGGGGCCUUCCAAGACACCUUUAUUGGGAGGAAAACACUACUUUGUUACUUUUGUUGAUGACUUUUCCAGAAGAGUUUGGGUGUAUACCAUGAGAACUAAGGAUGAAGUGCUUAAAGUUUUUCUUAAAUGGAAAACUAUGAUCGAAAACCAGACUGGCAAGAAAAUCAAGCGGCUUAGGACGGACAAUGGAGGGGAAUAUAAAAGUGAUCCGUUCUUCGAUGUGUGCCAAGAGUAUGGUAUUGUUCGACACUUCACAGUUAGGGAUACACUACAGCAGAAUGGAUUGGCAGAGCGUAUGAAUCGAACAUUGCUUGAGAAAGUUCGAUGUAUGUUGUCCAAUGCUGGGUUAGGCAAGCAAUUUUGGGCUGAGGCUGUGACAUACGCUGGCCAUCUUGUUAAUCGUUUGCCAUCAUCUGCAUUAGAAAGAAAAACUCCUAUGGAGGUAUGGUCUGGAAAACCGGCUACAGAUUAUGAUUCCUUACAUGUGUUUAGAUCCACUGCAUAUUACCAUGUGAAGGAGUCAAAGUUAGAUCCGAGGGCAAAGAAAGCUCUCUUUAUGGGAAUCACUUCUGGAGUGAAGGGAUUUCGUCUUUGGUGCUUAAGCACAAAGAAAAUGAUCUGUAGCAGAGAUGUUACCUUUGAUGAAUCUGCCACAUUGAAAAAGGUAGCAGAUAAAGAUAUUCAGACGAGCAAUACUCCACAACAGGUGGAGUGUACUCCAAAACAGGUGGAGUUUGAGCAGAUGGGGAUUUGCCCAGUUAAUAAGUCUAAUUCUCCAGCCACAAUGGAGGAAUUAGAGGUUGAAGAGGUUCUGACCCAAGAACCACUAAGUACACCAGAACCAGUUGCAGUUGCAAGGCCACGGAGAGAAAUUCGUAAACCUGCUCGAUUUACUGAUAUGGUGGCCUACGCCCUUCCCGUUGUUGAUGAUAUUCCUAUCACUUAUCAAGAAGCAAUGCGAAGCUUAGAAAGUGAUAAAUGGAAAAGUGCCAUGGAUGAAGAAAUGCAGUCUCUCUUGAAGAAUAAUACUUGGGAAUUGGCGCAAUUACCGAAAGGUAAAAGGGCAAUCGGAUGCAAGUGGGUAUUCGCAAAGAAAGAUGGAUCUCCUAGCAAGAAGGAUAUUCGCUACAAGGCAAGAUUGGUAGCUAAAGGCUACGCUCAGAAGGAGGGAAUUGACUACAAUGAUGUAUUUUCCCCUGUUGUGAAACAUUCCUCCAUUAGAAUUUUGUUGGCCUUGGUAGCACAGUUGAAUUUGGAGCUAGCUCAACUUGAUGUUAAGACGGCUUUCUUGCAUGGUGAGUUAGAAGAGGAGAUCUAUAUGACUCAGCCCGAAGGAUACACAGAUGCUGGUGGUAGAAAUUGGGUUUAUAAGCUGAACAAAUCGCUAUAUGGAUUGAAGCAAUCCCCGAGGCAGUGGUACAAGCGAUUUGAUAGCUUUAUGAGAAGGCAGAAGUACACAAGAAGCAAAUAUGACAAUUGUGUAUAUUUGCAGAAGCUGCAUGAUGGAUCUUUCAUUUCUCUACUCUUGUAUGUUAAUGAUAUGUUAAUCGCUUCGAAGAGCCAAAAUGAGAUAGAUAAGCUGAAGGCUCAGUUGAAUCAAGAGUUCGAGAUGAAAGAUCUAGGUGAGGCCAAGAAGACUCUCGGCAUGGAGAUAAGUAGAGAUAGACCGAGAGGCAAACUCUGUUUAAAUCAGAAGUAAUAUCUGAAAAAGGUAUUACAAUGUUUUGGUGUAAAUGAAAACACAAAACAUAUAAGUACCCCACUUGCUUCUCAUUUGAAACUUAGUGCUCAAUUAUCUCCGAAGACUGAAGAUGAAAGAGAAUAUAUGGCGAAAGUCCCAUAUGCUAAUGCAGUUGGGAGUUUGAUGUAUGCGAUGGUGUGUACGAGGCCUGACAUUUCACAAGCUGUUGGAGUUGUGAGCAGGUAUAUGCAUGAUCCUGGAAAAGGACAUUGGCAAGCUGUGAAAUGGAUUCUACGGUAUCUUCGAAAAACCGUAGAUGUUGGUUUAAUUUUUGAACAGGAUGAAGCACUUGGUCAGUUUGUAGUUGGAUAUGUUGAUUCCGACUUUGCUGGUGAUUUAGAUAAACGUCGUUCAACUACGGGGUAUCUGUUUACUCUUGCGAAAGCCCCAGUGAGUUGGAAGUCUACCUUACAGUCUACAGUAGCUGUGUCUACUACAGAGGCAGAAUAUAUGGCAGUUACAGAAGCUGUUAAGGAGGCUAUUUGGCUUAAUGGAUUAUUGAAAGACUUGGGAGUUGUUCAAAGUCACAUUAGUCUAUAUUGUGACAGUCAGAGUGCUAUUCAUUUAGCGAAAAAUCAAGUCUAUCAUUCAAGAACCAAGCAUAUCGACGUAAGAUAUCACUUUGUGCGGGAAGUCUUUGAAAAAGGAAAAAUUCUACUUCAGAAGAUUCCGACAGCAGAUAAUCCCGCAGAUAUGAUGACCAAAGUGGUAACAACAAUCAAGUUUAAUCAUUGUUUGAACUUGAUUAACAUCCUGAGAAUUUGAGCACCUACAGGUGUAUGGCGCUCGAGAGCGCAUUUAGAGGCACUACAAAAGAUAACUUUAUCGAAUUUGGGGAGUUGAAGGAAGUGUGUGAAGAUGUGAUUAUCCUAAUCAAAUCUUCAAGGUGGAGAUUGUUGAAAGGUCAACAAAGGUAGGAAGCAACUUGUUAAAAAGGUUGAGCAAGUUGCACCGAAUGUUGAAAAGUUGAAUGGGAUAAUUGCAAUUUUGGUCCCUAAUUUUUUAGGCCAUUUGCAAGUUAGUCCCUGAACUUCAACUAUAAAUAGGCCUUUUCAUUUUUCAUUUCAACAAUCCCAACCAAUCUUUCUCUCUUAGUUUUCUCUCUUCUCCCAUUUGAGAAUUCUUAAGGAAUUCUAUUUGUUUGUAAUAUUUUGAAGAUAGUAAAGUUAUCAUCUGGUGUUAGUGCCCGAGGACGUAGGUAUAAUUUACCGAACCUCGUUAAAACUCUUGUGUUCUUUCUUGUCCUAUUUUUCUUUCAAUAUUUGAGGGUAUAAUAGUAGUAUUUAAUUGUGCUAUUAAAUUACUAUAGAAGGGAUAUUCUGACUAAGGAAAGACUUGGUAUUUAAGAGAUCCAUGUGAUCCACCUCUCUUCCCUGGGAAUUGAACUUUGUGUGAUUUUUUAGUACAAUAAUUUACACGCUUCCGACCCUAUUGGAACAACAUUGUGCUCCCCUAAAUCCUCCUCUCUAUGCACAUUUGUUCUUUCUUUUUCUUUGUUGAAGAGUCGAUCUGUAUGCAUUCUUCAUCAGCUGAUCUUACUGUAUUGUUUCUCCAAAACAAUAGGGAAAGAAAAGGGAAAGAGACUUACUGUUCUUUGUCAAGCUCAGAGGUUCAUUUGAAAUUUUAGAGGAUUUAGGUAAAACUAUUAAAUUCAAAAAAUAGUCCCAUUUAAAAUAUGAGUCGAGCUUGAAUUUGAAUAUUUAAAGCCUAAGUUUGGCCCGACCCAAUUUUUAAGUUUGCAAUAUUUUAUAUUAUGUUAAUUUUAUAUGUUAUGUAAUUUGUAACAAAUAAAAAUAAAAAUUAUAAUACUAUUAUAAUCUUAAGAUGACUAUAUAUAAAAUUUUAAUAAAAAUGUAAAAAUAUUAAAUAUUAAGUUAAAAAUAAUAUAAAUUCAUUUAAAUUUUUUUAAAAAUAGUAUGAGUGGAUUUAAAAUGAGUUUGAGUUAACUGUUUACAAAUUUGAACAGACUUUAAGUUUAUAUUUUGGACCAGGCUGAACCUAAACAAAUAUAAAAUAAAAUAUAAAUAUUUUCAUUUUUUUAAAUUCUCUAUUAUAUUUUGGCAUAAUGAUUUAUUUAACCUUCUAAAUUUAUGAAAAAAUCAAUUUAGUCCUUAAACUUGCAUGGCAUACACAUGGAUGCCACAUUAGCAAUUAACUAAUGUUCUAAAUAUAAAAAUUUUAAAAAAGUAUACAACUUAUUAAAAGUUUUAAAAAGUAUAAAAAUUAUUAAAAACUAUUUUAAAUUUUUAAAAAAAAAUUAAUCAAUUGCUAAUGUAGCAUACACAUUGGCUUCCAUGUGGAAGCCACAUCAGCAAAGUUAAUAAUUUAGUAUAAGAAAAUCUUUUAUGUCCAGUUUGGUGCAAUAAAAUCAAGUGAUAUUAGUUUAAUUCGAUUAUAUUUUUUUAUCCAUCCAUUAUAAUUUAGUUUAGUACGAUUUUUUAUUAUAAAUUUUUAUAAUUAUUUUAAUAAAAUAAACUUUAUUUUACGGCUUUUAAAUAUCAUUUGACAAAUUUUCAAAGUUUUUUUCAUAGAUUUUUUUAAAAUUAUUUUAAGUAGAUAAAAAUAAUUAAAUACUUUUUAACCCAUUUUGGAUGGUUUGACAAAAAAAUAUAAGUUCAAAGACUAAAAGAAAAUGAAAGUAAAUAGAGAGCUAAAAUAAUUCUUUUAUAAAGUUGGAAUGCCAAAAAAGUUAUUAUACUUUCAUUUUUCAAAAUAAUUAAUAAACACUUUAAACAUAAGUGCAUCUACAUUUGCUUCGUGAUUGUUCUUUCUAUAAAUUCACGAUAAUCAAGUUAAACAAGUAAUUUAGUGAGGUUAAGUAUUGUAACAGUGAGAUUAAAGUUAAUUGUAGAAUAUGUAUUUGAAUUCAAAUGUAAAUAUAUCGAUAAAAUGAGAAUAAAAAAUCACUAUUAAAGCGGAAUUAGAUGCCCUCAUCGAUGGUUUUUGGCGGCUUGCUCAAUUUCUUAAAGCCAAUAAUGUCAUUUUUGAAACAGAUUGUGCUAGCAUUGUCAACCGCUUUAGUUUUCACAAGGAGGACAUAACGAUCGUUGAUCACUGCAUCAAGGAGCUCACAAAAUGCUUAAUUCUUUUGUUUCUUUCGAGGUCAAAUGGGUGAAACGUGGUUAUAACAAAUUAGCCGAUUCUCUUUGUAAUUGGGCUCUUUCUAAGUGUAGUAAUUUAUCUUUUGAGAUGAAUUAUCCUAACGAUCGAUAUUCAUAACGUUGUAAUUUAUGAUGCAACUUAAAAUGAGAUAGUGACCUUUGGGUUUUUUUUAUAAAAAAAACAGUAUUAAAUAUAUUAAGUUAAAAUACAUGUAUAUGUAAAAUAAAUGAUUAAAAAUAUAUUUAAAAAUAAAAUAUCUUAAAUAAACAAAUCAAAAUCAUUCAACUCACAAUAAAACAAUUAUAUGUGUAUUAAAAUAAUUAAAUAGAUAUGAGCAGUGGAAGCAAUCUUCAUGAUGGUAUUAAGUAAUGAUUUUUCCUUCAAUACCAAUUAAAUACACAUUCCCAUGGAGCUGACAUAAACCCAAUAUCUUUCCACAUGUUGUACAUGUUCAAAAACGAAAUUAAUUUUUCUUUUGUUGGCAAUAGUAGCCGAGCUAAAAAUUUUUUUACUCGGAAUUAAAUUAUAUAUUUUUAUAGUAAUGUAUUUUUAUAAUUUUUAAAGAGUUAAAUUAAAUUUUUAUAAUUUUUUUAGAUGAUCAAAUUAUAAUUUUAUCACUAUUAAUUUAAAAUUUUAUAAAUUAUAAAAUGUCUAAAUUAAAAAUUUAUCAUUUUAGGAGUCUCUACUAGGCUUCGCAGGUGAUAGCGCAACUUGUCAAGAAUGACCAUCCAAGCUAUAACAAAAUGUUUUGGGAUAUGCUAAAUCAACCUCUUACAUUUUACUUUGAUAUAUUACAUAGACAAGCAAUUAUAUUAAUCCAAUGUAAAAAAAUAUAUGUAUGCAUUUUUUUUACAUAUGUACAGUUGAAUCAGAAUUAAAAUUAAUAGCAAAUAUAAUUAACAUACCCAUUAAUAUAAAAAGAUUUAAUAAUAAGGGUAUACUAAAAUAGUAAUGAACAGUAACUAUUGUCGUAAUAUAUAAUUAUAGACACCAAGUUACUUUAAAAGACAAAAUCAAAGCUAAGUAGGUAGGUGAGAAAUGUGAACAUGAUAAUCACUUGUAAGUUAAUUGAAUUCGAUUCAAAAAAGAUUUAAAUUUGAUUUAGUAGUCAUUAAGUUAUGUUUAAAUUAUUGAUUUAAUCGGAUUGGGAUUUAAUAAAAUUUGAUUCUAAUGGUGAAUGAGUUUUAUUGAAUUUUUUAUUUUAUAUAUUCAACCAAAGUUAAACUCAAAAAUAAAAUAUUGAAUUUAAGUUAAACUCGCGCAAUUACACAAAGUAAGUGGGAAGAAGGUUUAGAAAGGCUUCAAUCAAAACACCUUGGAUUCCAUGGGAUUUGUCGCCUUUUUCUCUUUUCUUUCGUAGCCUUUUCAUUAAUUUCAAUUAUUUGUACGGCUCCACAUUGUGCAGAGCAUUGAGAAAUUUCUCAUCAUCCCAACUUUGUCUCCAUUCAGAAAUUUGUGUCACAUGGAGGGACAUUUCCCACCAAUCAACAUGACUUUAACUUGGAGGGACCAUUUCCCACCAAUCAACAUGACUUUUUAUUUAAUUAUACUACUUGCUGGGUGGAUGGAUCCACAUCUGUGCUUCAUCUUGUUGGAAUCAUUCUCAUUUUAGUUCUCCUCUUUCACGAAUCAAACACUUUUUGCCUUGAUUUCAGUUUGAACCAACCAUGGCCGAAGCAAUUGCUUCCGUCAUUGCCGCAGAGCUCAUUAUUAAGUUGAGCUCUCGUGCUCUCUCUCAAGUUGGGCUGUGGUGGAAUCUCAAACAUGACAUCCACGAUCUCAGACGCACUGUCUGUCAAAUCAAAGCUGUGCUUCUUGACGCAGAAGAGAAAUCGGUGACCGACAAUCUCGUCAAAGUUUGGCUUGAAGAGCUGAAAGAUGUACUUUAUGAGGCCGACGACUUGCUCGAUGAUUUCUCUACUGAAGCUUUGCGGAAAGAUGUAUCGGGUGGGAACAAGCUGACGAAAGAGGUACGCCUUUUCUUCUUAACCUCAAACCAAUUUGCUUAUGGUCUCAAAAUGGGUCGGAAAAUGAAGGCCAUUAAGGCGAGAUUAGCUUCAAUUGAAAGGGAGGCCAACACUUUUGGCUUCAUUCCUCGUGAUCGCCCCGCGGAAACCUCUUUCAUGACAAAAAGGAGGCAGCAAACGCACUCUUUUGAGCUUGAAGAUGACAUAAUAGGGAGGGAUGAUGAUAAAGCAGCUCUUCUAAAACUCGUGUUGGAGUUUCAAAGUGAAGAGAAUGUUUAUGUCAUUCCAAUUGUGGGGUUUGGAGGGUUAGGGAAGACUGCUUUGGCCCAACUUGUCUAUAACCAUGAAAUGGUCAAAAAUCAUUUCGACUUAACGAUGUUUGCGUGUGUUUCAGAUGAUUUUGAUGUGAAAGUUAUUGUAGCAAACAUUAUCAAAUCUGUGACUAAUCAAGCACCUGAUCAAAAUCUUGAAAUGGAUCAAUUGCAAAAACAACUUCGAGAUAAAAUUGAUGGGAAAAAAUAUUUGCUUGUUUUGGAUGACAUUUGGAAUCAGGACCCAGAGAAGUGGUCUAGGCUAAAGAAGUUAUUGAUGGGUGGGGCUAAAGGGAGUAGGAUAAUAGUAACUACUCGAUCUCUAAGGGUAGCGGAGAUAAUUAAUAAAUGUCAAUCCCAUGUUUUGAAAUUGAAAGGCUUGUCUGAUGAUGAUGCUUGGUCUUUGUUCAGAAAGAUAGCAUUUGAACAAGGAUAUGCAGACUCAACAAAUUCAGCCUUUGUGGAAGUAGGGAAACAGAUUUCGGAAAGGUGUGGUGGGGUUCCCUUAGCCAUAAGGACGAUAGCUGGUACAUUAUCUUUGAAGAAAACUGCAAAUGAGUGGCAUUCUUUCAAAGAAAAUGAACUUGCUAAAAUAUCACAAAUUGAAGGAGAACUUCUACCUAUACUGAAAUUGAGUUAUGAUCAUCUCCCGUCUCAUUUGAAGCAUUUCUUUGCUUAUUGCCGAUUGUAUCCAAAAGAUUACAGAAUUAAAGUACAAGAGCUUGUUCAAAUUUGGAUUGCACAGGGUUUCAUAAAGCAAUUGAAUCAAAGUCAAUCUCUGGAGGAGAUCGGGUUUGGGUAUUUUAAAGAUUUAGUUGAAAUAAGUUUCUUCCAAGAAGUAGGAGAAAGAUAUUCAAGGGAAGGGCUAACAUGUAAAAUGCAUGAUUUAAUGCAUGAUGUAGCUGAAUCAGUAGCAGGGAUGGAGAGUAGUAUUGUAGAUUCAAAUAAAAUUGCAAGUGAUGUUGGUGAAAAAUGGCGACACAUAUCAAUUAAACCUUCAUUAAUUCCUUUGUUUAAGGGAAAGAAGUUGCGAACCUUGUUACAUUUUCAAGACAAAAUAAGUCAAGAUUUCAGCUAUGAAACUUGGGAUUUGAUAAUUGCAAAUUGUAGAUGCUUGCGUGUAUUGAAAUUGAAUUCUAUAGGUAUUCAAAAGAUUUCACCCUCCAUUUGUAAGUUGAAACAUUUGAGGUACCUUGAUCUUUCUUGGAAUUUCAAUAUUAAGAUUCUCCCAGAGAGUAUUUGCAAGAUUCAGAAUUUGCUAGCGCUGAAACUUGAUGGGUGUGAUGGGCUUAAAGAAUUGCCAAAGAAGAUUGAAAAAUUGGUGAAUCUUACCCAUCUUGAGUGUGAACAUUGUAUUAGUUUAACUCAUAUGCCACGUGGAAUAGGGAAGCUGACUUCACUUGAGACGUUAAGCAUGUUUGUAGUGGAUAAAGAUGGGUCCCAUGGCGGUGCAGAUCUAAGUGAAUUGAGACUGCUUAACAACUUAAGGGGAGGGUUAGGAAUAACAAAUUUGGGAUUCGUAAAAAAUGCAAAAGAGAAGUUUAAGGCUGCUAAUUUGAAAGAGAAGCAACAUUUGAGAUGGUUGGGUUUACAAUGGAAAUUUGAUUCUGAUGAUGAAGAUGAUGAUGAUGAUGAUGAUGAGAAGUCACUUGAAGACCUCCAGCCCCAUCCUAAUCUCAAGGAGCUCUGUAUUGAAAGAUGGAGGGGUGAUGCCAAGUUUCCAAGUUGGCUUCCUUUGCUCACAAAUCUCGUCAAAAUUUUCACAAGUGGUGGUAAUUUCAGACAAAUCCCGUCCUUUGCGCAAUUUCCUUGUCUUAAAGGGCUGACUAUAGAUGAUUGUACUAAGCUGGAGUACAUGGAUGAUAAUAGCCCAAAAGGAAGUCAAGGAGAACCACAAUCAUUCUUCCCAUCACUGAAGCAUCUUUCGCUCUGGAACUGUCCGAAUAUGAAGAGUUGGUGGAGGACGACAAAACCAAUCGAUGAUGAUUCCAACGAGGACGACACAACAGUUAUGGGAACAUCAACCAUGGCAUUUCCUAGUCUUUCCUCUUUAGGCAUUCAAAAUUGCCCUUUAAUUUUAAUGCCACUGUAUCCAUCACUCGAUGAAGGUCUAAUGUUGUUCUAUACCAGUUCAAGGCCGUUAAAGCAGACUAUCAAAAUGAACAUCAAUGCUAAGGCCCCAUCAACUUCAACCUCUUCUCUUCCACUCUCCAAAUUGAAAUCUUUCCAUGUAUACAACAUUGAGGGGUUGGACACUCACACGCUAGAUGAGUGCCUGCAACAUCUCACCAGCCUCAAAAGAUUAACAAUAAGAGAUUGCAAGGAGGUUGAUUUAGAGGGCAUGCAAUGGGAACCCCUUAAGAAUCUCUCUCAUUUGGAGAUUGAUAAUAUUCCAAAGCUGGUGUCUCUCCCCAUUGGGCUUCAACAUCUUGUUCAAUUGAAAACAUUAAAAAUUCAUAACUGCAAUGGAUUGAGGUCACUUCUUCCUGUGUUCCAACAUCUCACUUCCCUUGAAGACUUUUUAGUAAUGGACUGCAAGGAGCUGGAGUUAUCUGGGGCUGGCAUCCAAAUAUUCCAAGAUCAUACAAGCCUACGCUUUCUACAGCUGCAAAAUAUUCCAAAGUGUCGGCAUCUUCCGGAGUGGCUUCAACAUCUAACAAAUCUGCAACGGCUUUUUCUCGUUAAUUUGCCCAAUUUAACAUCUCUUCCGCACCAGAUGCAUUGCCUAACCAGUUUGAAGUAUUUACACAUACAAGAAAUUCCUCAGUUGGAGGAAAGAUGUCGGAAGGACAUUGGCGCUGAUUGGCAAAAGAUUGCUCACAUCCCCAACAUUUGGUUGAAUCAGGUUGGUCUGUCUUUGUUAUUUAUUUAUUAUGAUGACCUUAUCUUUUUUUGAAGAAAAAUAAGAGUGGUAUAUUGAAUCUCCAAGUGAGGGGUCUGAUGCCAUUUUUCAUUGAAGUUGGAUACUGUUAAUUUCCUUGUUAAAAUCCCUUUGUUUUAAUCCUACUUUUUACUUAUCAUCUUUCAUAAUAUUUUUGGUGAUUUGUGCAUUAAGGCAUUGGAGAAAGGCAUUAGUCAACUUCAAUAAUUUUUUAUGCAUAAAAAGAGGUGCUAAUUUAUCUAUUUGCUUUUUACUUUUAAGUCAUAAUAAUAACUUGACAAUUGCUUCUAAUAAUUUAAUUCUAAAAAAUCAUUGAUGUGGUUGUAUUAUAUGUAUUUAUAUAUAUAUUUAUGUUUAUAUAUAUUUAUGUUUUCUCUUAAUAUAUGCCAACUGAGUAUUAUCUUGGAUGGUACCUGUGAUAUUGACAGGCUUUUGGAGGUAUUCAAAUUCAUAAUAUUCAUUGAUGCAGGGCACUCUUUUAGCUGUUUAGAAUUCCAGCCAAAUUUGUUAUUGAAGGUCCAAACAAGAAAAAAAGGAAGAUGCUUCAGAUGUAUAAUUAAGUGUUUGAGGGGUUAAGCUUAAAUCAUUUCUUUGUACUAUGAAGUUCAUAGUGGAUUCAUCUUUGGGCAAAGCCCCGCAGACGUAGGACGAGUUUCGAACUGCGUAAACAUCUUAAUUGUGUUCUUUAUUUUUCUUGUUGCAUAAUAUAUACCAACUCAAGAAAACACACAUUUUUAAUGUUCCAAAUAGUAUUCAAAUGCAGGGAUGCACAAUUGAUUAUGAGACAAUAAUUGUUUUAGACGGAAUUCCAAGGCUAUGUUCAAUUAUGAUGCUUGGACUAGGACUCUUCCAAAAGAUGUCGAUGUCCUGGCUGUAUAUACAUGACUUGUGUGUUGAUGCUUAUGUUGGCACACCAAAUUAUAAGUUGAACAACACCUUAUAAAGGCCUAUCAUGGCACAAGCCAAUAUUACAAGCUGAAGCUUUGGCUCUUGUUAUGUUCUGCCCCGAGUAAAUUUUUUAAAGAGAAAUUUUUUAAUUCAUUCAAUGAAUAAAUGAAAAAUUCAAAGAAAAAAAUAACAAAUACUCGUAUGCGUUAGAUAAUAAUAAAAAUUUAUUAUUUUGUAACUUUUCAUAAUUAGGUAAAAGAAAUUACUAAUAAUUUGGUGAUCAUUUUGUAACUUUUUAACUAGUUGAAUGACUUUUAAUAUAGUUUACUCAAAAAAGAAUAUUAGCGGCAUCAAAUAGAAAACGAGAAAACAAAUUUAAAAUAAAGAUAAACAAAACGAUGUACUUAACGACGUUACUUCCUUCUUCUCCAACCAAAACACCGUCGCUUUGUUCCCCAAACGUAAAAUAUGGUGGGACUAUUUCCAACCAAACAACAUUAUUUUCAUUUAAUAAUAAAUGUGUUAUAAUUAUUUAUAUUCAUAUAAGAAGUUAUUUGUAUUAAAUAUUCUCAAUUUAUUAAAUAUUGUUUUAGAAUUAAUUUGUAAAUUUUAAAAUAUUUUAAUUAAGUUUUGAAAGUAUUAAUAUUAUAACAAUAAAAUCAUUUCAUUUUUGUAGCUAUCAAUUUAGAUUUUAAAUUUCUGUUCUCAUUUGACAUGGAUUAAAUUGUAAAUACUUGUGUACUCAUCAUAUUGAUAACUUGAUUCUAACAUAUUAAAAACACGCUGAGAUUAUAAAAUUUAAGAGGAUUACUUCUUCUUCUUCUUUUAACAAAUUAGAUUCAAGUUGCCUAUAUAGCAUGGACACAUGUGUUUUAAGUAUGUCCCCUAUCAUAUUUGAGCGAACAUUUAAUGCUCAGGCUAAUGGCUAAGUUAAUAGGAAAAUGGGAUAAAUCUCAAAACUACAUAUAAACUUUGGCAUAACAUAUAAUUUUAUACAUGAAAUUUUAAUUUGAUCUAAUUUUCAUAAAUUAUUAAUAGGGCAUCAUUUUAUGUUUAUAUAUUGUGUAAAUAAAUAAUUAUAUUUAUCCACUACAAAAAUAAAUUGAUGUAUCUAUUUCUUUAAAUACCUCGCAUAUUAAAAUAUAGACAUCACAAAUUCGACUAAUGGAUCAUAGGGCAAAGUCGACUAGUGCGAGGUUUGUAGGAACAUGUAGUUACAUUAUAGCUACUUAGUUGCGAACAAGCAUGAUCAAAGAUAAAUUGUGACUUUCAUUGAAGCAUACAAUAUUCUUUUAACUGUGAUUUCUUUUUCAUAGCAUGAGUUAGACAAUAGUUUGAUUAUUUUAACCCUUUUACUUAAGCUUAUUAUAAAUUUAACAUCCAUAAGUGUUCAAGUCUAUUUUUAUUUUUUAUUUUACUUUUUUAUAUAUUUUUUCUUUCUCAUAUAUAUUGAUUAUAGAUUCGCUCAUGAUAUUGCUUCAAUAGAAGGAACUCCUAAAAGCUUCAAAAAGUUAGUGAGAGCUUACCCCUAUAUAUUUAUAAAAAAAAAUAUGAACAUAAAAAUAUUUAAAUUUUAAAUUUUACACAAUCCGAAAAUACAAAAACUAAAGAGAAUAUGAAAACUAUUAAUAUGUGCUAACCAAAUUAAAUAAAUACGAAAUUAAAUUCACAUACGGUGGCCGAACCAAUCAAUUAAUUGGUUUUCGGUCCAAUUUGUUUGUUGAAUUCAAUUGAAAUAGUUUAAUUUAAUUUAGGGUUUUUAGAUAUGAAAGUUUUAUAUUACAAUAAUUGAAUUUUGAAAUUUUUUUAUAGAUUUUUUAUAUUAUAUAUUUUAACUUAUUUAAAAUGUUUUCAAAUGUUUUCAAAAUAUUAGUUAAAAUUUGUUAACACCGAUCUUAAUUGUCCUUAUUUAUUCACCUUUGAAAACUACAAGGUUUCCAUUAAUCUUUUUACCCUUCAUUUUUGUUAGCUUUUGGCUCUAUUCUUCGGCAGAGCAUAGCAUGCAAUACAAAAAGCAGAGAUCAUACUUGCUACCCUCAUUUGUUUAUCUGCCCACAUAUUCGAUUGGCAUGUAUUUUUCUGAAAGGCAUUUGACAACUUCAAGAAUUUAGAUGCAGAAAAAUAGGUGGUAAUUACUUAAUUGCUUUACAUUUUUAAAAUCAUAAUAAUCUCAUAAUUUCAAAUGAUCUAAUAUAACCUCGUGACUAAGCUGCUUCUUUUUCAGCACGAGUUCAAUGGAAGAGCCAAAAAGCAGGACAUGCAUUCUUCAUCAGCUGAUCUGUCCAUGGCAUUGUGCUCCCAUGAAAUCCUCCUCUCUAUGCACAUUUGUUCUUCCUUUUUCUGUUUUUCUUUGUUGACGAGUCAAUCUGUAUGCAUUCUUCAUCAGCUGAUCUUGGAGCUUGUAUAUAUAGAUGAUUUGUGGACUUAGAGGCACACUUAGUAACUAUUAUUUGAGUGCCACCUUAUGAGUGUUGAUUUUCUCUUGCAUAGCUAAUGUAAGUUGGAAGAGUAUUUAGUUAAUUGUACAAAGGUGAGGUUGCACCAAGUUUGGAGGGUUGGGCAUAAAUAAUUUCAUUGUACUGUGAAGUUUAUAGCGAUUUUAUCUCUAGACAAAGCUCACAAAUGUAGGAUGAGUUUUGAACUGCGGAAACAUCUUGGUUGUGUUCUUUAUUCUCCUUUAUUUUUACUUUUUUGUGUGUCAACUUAAAAAAAAUAUAUACAUUUUUCUCUUUCGGGGUUUCAAAUAAUAAUCCAACACAUGGAAACACAACUAAUUAACAGGCAAUCUUGUGUACAUUAUGUAAGACUAUCAUUUAAUGAAAACGUUGCAGUACCUAAUGAUUGGUUGAAUGCUUAGCAUAGCUCCCUUCAGUUACCAAAUUUUGAGGAUACAAAUAUGGAUGCCCUGCAACCACUGCAUCCCUUUUAGCUUAUUACAAAACAAUUAAACCUAGAUCCAAUGUCUUCUUUAUCUUCCAUUAACUUUUGUAUUUUAGGAAUUUUGUUUUCGUUGAACAGGAAAAUUUUGGGUAAAAUUAAUAUUAUAUGAAGAAAGUUAGUUUAGUUCAACAACUCAAGCAAGGGGAGAAGAGAUGUCUAUAUAUGUUCAAUUUGUACCUUGUGAGCUGUUUUCAAUUAAACUAAGGUAAAGUCUAAUUAAAAAUUUCAAAAAAAUUGAAGGCUUAAUGAAAAUUUUCCAAAUUUAGGGGAGGGGAAUUCUGCCCUGAGUAAUUUUUGAAACUAUAUAGAUCGAGCUGAGUUGUGAUUCUAUAUUUGUGUAUUUGAAUUAAAAAAUAAUUUAUCUAAUAAUCGAUUUGAAUAUUGAACGAAUAAUUCAAUCCUUAAGUAUGUAUAGUUUUAAAUGAAAACUAAAUAUCUAAACAAUUCAAUUGAUCAAUUUUACAACUUAAAUUAUUGUUCUAAUUUUUUUUUCAAUGUUCACAAUAGAAAAAAAAAAAAAAAGCUGUAUGUGAAACGUUUUAAAAAAAUUACAAUUAAGCCCAUGUAAUUUGUUGCACUAUAUAAAUUUAGAAAAUUGAUGUUUGUGAACCUUAAUUUUUGUAUUUUCUUUGAACUCGAAAAAGAAGGAUUUUUGAGCCUCACUUUUUGAAUAAAUAAAACAUGCACUAAUUAGUGAGCCAAGUUUUCGAAUGCUACAUUUAUUUAUUCAUUAUUAUGAAAUUAAUAUUUUCUUAUUUUGUUUUUUAACAAAAAGGAAAAUAUAAUAUUUAGGUAAAAAAGAAAAUUCUACAUUAGAAUCAUAAAAGAUGCACACUUUUAAGAUAUUAAAUUAAUGGAUUUUUAUGUUUAAUGUAUGAUAUAAUUAUAUUAUACACCCAAUAAGAUUAUUUUAUUAGAAAGUAAAAUUAUUUAUUCAUUAAAAAUAUUAUAAUAUAAUAUCGUUUUAUUCAUUAAUUGUUAAUUGUAUGACAUUAAAUAAAAUUAUUAAAUUAAUUAUAAGAAGGAUAAAAAGGAAAAAAUGUAAUGCUUUUUAUUUAAUUAUGCUACUUGGUGGGUGGAUGGUAAUAUCUAUAAAUAUACUCAAGUCUCUGCAUGUAUGGAUCCACAUUUGUGUUUCAUCUUGUUCCAAUCAUUCUCAUUUUACUCCUCCUCUUGCAAUAACCCUUCUUUGCUUGAUUUCUGUUUGAACCAGCAAUGGCCGAAGCAAUUGCAUUCGACCUCGCCCUAGAGCUUAUUACUAAGUUGAGCUCUUGUGCUCUCUCUCAAGUUGGGCUGUGGUGGAAUCUAAAACAUGACAUCCACGACCUCAAACGCACUGUCUGUCAAAUCAAAGCUGUGCUUCUUGACGCUGAAGAGAAAUCGGUGACCGACAAUCUCGUCAAAGUUUGGCUUGAAGAGCUGAAAUAUGUACUUUAUGAUGCCGACGACUUGCUCGAUGAUUUCUCUACUGAAGCUUUGCGGAAAGAUGUAUCGGGUGGGAACAAGCUGGCGAAAGAGGUACGCCUUUUCUUCUCAACCUCAAACCAAUUUGCUUAUGGUCUCAAAAUGGGUCGGAAAAUGAAGGCCAUUAAGGCGAGAUUAACUUCAAUUGAAAGGGAGGCCAACACUUUUGGCUUCAUUCCGCGUGAUCGCCCCGCGGAAACCUCUUUCAUGACUAAAAGGAGGCAGCAAACGCACUCUUUUGAGCGUGAAGAUGACAUAAUAGGGAGGGAUGAUGAUAAAGCAGCUCUUCUAAAACUCGUGUUGGAGUUUCAAAGUGAAGAGAAUGUUUAUAUCAUUCCAAUUGUGGGGUUUGGAGGGUUAGGGAAGACUGCUUUGGCCCAACUUGUCUAUAACCAGGAAAUGGUCAAAAAUCAUUUUGACUUAACGAUGUUUGCGUGUGUUUCAGAUGAUUUUGAUGUGAAAGUUAUUGUAGCAAACAUUAUCAAAUCUGUGACUCAUCAAGCACCUGAUCAAAAUCUUGAAAUGGAUCAAUUGCAAAAACAACUUCGAGAUAAAAUUGAUGGGAAAAAAUAUUUGCUUGUUUUGGAUGACAUUUGGAAUGAGGACCCAGAAAAGUGGUCUAGGCUAAAGAAGUUAUUGAUGGGUGGGGCUAAAGGGAGUAGGAUAAUAGUAACGACUCGAUCUCUAAGGGUAGCGGAGAUAACUAAUAAAUGUCAAUCCCAUGUUUUGAAACUGAAAGGCUUGUCUGAUGAUGAUGCUUGGUCUUUGUUCAAAAGGAUAGCAUUUGAGCAAGGAUAUGCAGACUCAACAAAUUCAGCCUUUGUGGAAGUAGGGAGACAGAUUUCGGAAAGGUGUGGUGGGGUUCCCUUAGCCAUAAGGACGAUAGCUGGUACAUUAUCUUUGAAGAAAACUGCAAAUGAGUGGUAUUCUUUCAAAGAAAAUGAACUUGCUAAAAUAUCACAAAUUGAAGGAGAACUUCUACCUAUACUGAAAUUGAGUUAUG